CGGCGUCGAGCGGCGGACGGGUGAGUAAUGCCUAGGAAAUUGCCCUGAUGUGGGGGAUAACCAUUGGAAACGAUGGCUAAUACCGCAUGAUGCCUACGGGCCAAAGAGGGGGACCUUCGGGCCUCUCGCGUCAGGAUAUGCCUAGGUGGGAUUAGCUAGUUGGUGAGGUAAGGGCUCACCAAGGCGACGAUCCCUAGCUGGUCUGAGAGGAUGAUCAGCCACACUGGAACUGAGACACGGUCCAGACUCCUACGGGAGGCAGCAGUGGGGAAUAUUGCACAAUGGGCGCAAGCCUGAUGCAGCCAUGCCGCGUGUGUGAAGAAGGCCUUCGGGUUGUAAAGCACUUUCAGUCGUGAGGAAGGUAGUGUAGUUAAUAGCUGCAUUAUUUGACGUUAGCGACAGAAGAAGCACCGGCUAACUCCGUGCCAGCAGCCGCGGUAAUACGGAGGGUGCGAGCGUUAAUCGGAAUUACUGGGCGUAAAGCGCAUGCAGGUGGUUUGUUAAGUCAGAUGUGAAAGCCCGGGGCUCAACCUCGGAAUUGCAUUUGAAACUGGCAGACUAGAGUACUGUAGAGGGGGGUAGAAUUUCAGGUGUAGCGGUGAAAUGCGUAGAGAUCUGAAGGAAUACCGGUGGCGAAGGCGGCCCCCUGGACAGAUACUGACACUCAGAUGCGAAAGCGUGGGGAGCAAACAGGAUUAGAUACCCUGGUAGUCCACGCCGUAAACGAUGUCUACUUGGAGGUUGUGGCCUUGAGCCGUGGCUUUCGGAGCUAACGCGUUAAGUAGACCGCCUGGGGAGUACGGUCGCAAGAUUAAAACUCAAAUGAAUUGACGGGGGCCCGCACAAGCGGUGGAGCAUGUGGUUUAAUUCGAUGCAACGCGAAGAACCUUACCUACUCUUGACAUCCAGAGAACUUUCCAGAGAUGGAUUGGUGCCUUCGGGAACUCUGAGACAGGUGCUGCAUGGCUGUCGUCAGCUCGUGUUGUGAAAUGUUGGGUUAAGUCCCGCAACGAGCGCAACCCUUAUCCUUGUUUGCCAGCGAGUAAUGUCGGGAACUCCAGGGAGACUGCCGGUGAUAAACCGGAGGAAGGUGGGGACGACGUCAAGUCAUCAUGGCCCUUACGAGUAGGGCUACACACGUGCUACAAUGGCGCAUACAGAGGGCGGCCAACUUGCGAAAGUGAGCGAAUCCCAAAAAGUGCGUCGUAGUCCGGAUUGGAGUCUGCAACUCGACUCCAUGAAGUCGGAAUCGCUAGUAAUCGUGGAUCAGAAUGCCACGGUGAAUACGUUCCCGGGCCUUGUACACACCGCCCGUCACACCAUGGGAGUGGGCUGCAAAAGAAGUAGGUAGUUUAACCUUCGGGGGGACGCUUACCACUUUGUGGUUCAUGACUGGGGUGAAGUCGUAACAAGGUAGCGCUAGGGGAACCUGGCGCUG
RNAcentral lists this ribosomal RNA (1438 nucleotides) under Vibrio parahaemolyticus. RNAcentral's name for it is "bacterial SSU rRNA". It matches the Rfam family "Bacterial small subunit ribosomal RNA". RNAcentral also lists the same sequence under 3 other names. Lineage: Bacteria; Pseudomonadati; Pseudomonadota; Gammaproteobacteria; Vibrionales; Vibrionaceae. The record is from RNAcentral.